RNAcentral lists this ribosomal RNA (253 nucleotides) under uncultured bacterium. RNAcentral's name for it is "partial 16S ribosomal RNA". It matches the Rfam family "Bacterial small subunit ribosomal RNA", at positions 524 to 776 of the family's 1533-position model. The record is from RNAcentral.
UACGGAGGGUGAAAGAGUUAAUCGGAAUUACUGGGCGUAAAGCGUGCGUAGGCGGUGAUGGAAGUCAGGUGUGAAAACCCCGGGCUCAACCUGGGAAUUGCAUAUGAAACUGAAUGACUGGAGUGCGGCAGAGGGAAGCGGAAUUCCCGGUGUAGCGGUGAAAUGCGUAGAUAUAGGGAAGAACACCAGUGGCGAAAGCGGCCUCCUGGAACAGCACUGACGCUCAGGAACGAAAGCGUGGGGAGCAAACAGG